Molecule: long non-coding RNA, 152 nt
Organism: Gorilla gorilla gorilla (western lowland gorilla)
Lineage: Eukaryota; Metazoa; Chordata; Mammalia; Primates; Hominidae
Exons: 3
Source: RefSeq, a predicted model, not a curated record
AUUCUAUUGGAUGGGACAAGCCUGGUAAGCAGUUUCAGGUCUGUGAGGAGCAAGGAGGGACUUGAUGGUGAUAAAGGCACCAGGUCACAUGCCAGGACCUGCUGCAAGGAGGAGGCUAUUGUCAGCCUGUUCUGCUCCAGGGACAAAACGGG